RNAcentral lists this unclassified non-coding RNA (523 nucleotides) under Hevea brasiliensis (rubber tree). Lineage: Eukaryota; Viridiplantae; Streptophyta; Magnoliopsida; Malpighiales; Euphorbiaceae. The record is from RNAcentral.
AGAACGAAGAAAGUCCUUGCACUGGAAAAGAUUUGAUCGUUCGUCGAUCUUUGUGGAUCCUGAUGAGCGUUUCUUCGUGGAUUUUCGGGGUUUUGUUAUCUGGAAUAUGCAGUAAUGAUAGACCCUAUAUAGAAUUGAGAAAAUCAGCUGGAUUGUUUGAUGAUUCUCUGAUCAGAGGCUGGGAUACUAUAUUAGCAAGUGAAAUUGCAGAAAACUGCGGUGUUUCGAAAGAGGCGAAGGAGAUAAAUGAAGUGAUAACUGGUUUGAAGGAAGCAGUGGCUAAUGGUAAUGUUGAUGAAUUUGCGAUUGACUUGAAGAGAAGAUUGGAGGAUUUAGAAGAAUUGAUGCAGAAAAUUGGGAAGAAAACAAAUGAUCUGUUCUCAGAAGUUUUGGCUGAACGAGGUAAAUUCCUCGAUAGCCUUAAGCACACUAGAAAGUAGAACAUAGCAAGUGAAUUCUUUUGUAAAUUUGGACAUGUAUAAACUGGUUGUGAAAAGAUUUAUCACUGUUAAAAGUAUUGAAA